This 270-nucleotide ribosomal RNA is filed under the name uncultured archaeon. RNAcentral's name for it is "partial 16S ribosomal RNA". It matches the Rfam family "Archaeal small subunit ribosomal RNA", at positions 477 to 747 of the family's 1478-position model. The record is from RNAcentral.
CCGCACCUCAAGUGGUCAGGAUGAUUAUUGGGCCUAAAGCAUCCGUAGCCGGCGCUGUAAGUUUUCGGUUAAAUCUGUACGCUCAACGUACAGGCUGCCGGGAAUACUGCAGCGCUAGGGAGUGGGAGAGGUAGACGGUACUCGGUAGGAAGGGGUAAAAUCCUUUGAUCUAUUGAUGACCACCUGUGGCGAAGGCGGUCUACCAGAACACGUCCGACGGUGAGGGAUGAAAGCUGGGGGAGCAAACCGGAUUAGAGACCCGCGUAGUCC